AGCGUACACGGUGGAUGCCCUGGCAGUCAGAGGCGAUGAAGGACGUGCUAAUCUGCGAAAAGCGUCGGUAAGGUGAUAUGAACCGUUAUAACCGGCGAUGUCCGAAUGGGGAAACCCAGUGCAAUUCGUUGCACUAUCGUUAACUGAAUACAUAGGUUAACGAGGCGAACCGGGGGAACUGAAACAUCUAAGUACCCCGAGGAAAAGAAAUCAACCGAGAUUCCCCCAGUAGCGGCGAGCGAACGGGGAGCAGCCCAGAGUCUGAAUCAGCUUGUGUGUUAGUGGAACGGUCUGGAAAGUCCGACGGUACAGGGUGAUAGUCCCGUACACCAAAAUGCACAGGCUGUGAACUCGAAGAGUAGGGCGGGACACGUGGUAUCCUGUCUGAAUAUGGGGGGACCAUCCUCCAAGGCUAAAUACUCCUGACUGACCGAUAGUGAACCAGUACCGUGAGGGAAAGGCGAAAAGAACCCCGGCGAGGGGAGUGAAAAAGAACCUGAAACCGUGUACGUACAAGCAGUGGGAGCACCUUCGGGUGUGACUGCGUACCUUUUGUAUAAUGGGUCAGCGACUUAUAUUCUGUAGCAAGGUUAACCGUAUAGGGGAGCCGCAGGGAAACCGAGUCUUAACUGGGCGUUAAGUUGCAGGGUAUAGACCCGAAACCCGGUGAUCUAGCCAUGGGCAGGUUGAAGGUUGGGUAACACUAACUGGAGGACCGAACCGACUAAUGUUGAAAAAUUAGCGGAUGACUUGUGGCUGGGGGUGAAAGGCCAAUCAAACCGGGAGAUAGCUGGUUCUCCCCGAAAGCUAUUUAGGUAGCGCCUCGUGAAUUCAUCUUCGGGGGUAGAGCACUGUUUCGGCUAGGGGGUCAUCCCGACUUACCAACCCGAUGCAAACUACGAAUACCGAAGAAUGUUAUCACGGGAGACACACGGCGGGUGCUAACGUCCGUCGUGAAGAGGGAAACAACCCAGACCGCCAGCUAAGGUCCCAAAGUCAUGGUUAAGUGGGAAACGAUGUGGGAAGGCACAGACAGCCAGGAUGUUGGCUUAGAAGCAGCCAUCAUUUAAAGAAAGCGUAAUAGCUCACUGGUCGAGUCGGCCUGCGCGGAAGAUGUAACGGGGCUAAACCAUGCACCGAAGCUGCGGCAGCGACACUAUGUGUUGUUGGGUAGGGGAGCGUUCUGUAAGCCUGCGAAGGUGACCUGUGAGGGUUGCUGGAGGUAUCAGAAGUGCGAAUGCUGACAUAAGUAACGAUAAAGCGGGUGAAAAGCCCGCUCGCCGGAAGACCAAGGGUUCCUGUCCAACGUUAAUCGGGGCAGGGUGAGUCGACCCCUAAGGCGAGGCCGAAAGGCGUAGUCGAUGGGAAACAGGUUAAUAUUCCUGUACUUGGUGUUACUGCGAAGGGGGGACGGAGAAGGCUAUGUUAGCCGGGCGACGGUUGUCCCGGUUUAAGCAUGUAGGCUGGUUGUCCAGGCAAAUCCGGAUAAUCAAGGCUGAGGUGUGAUGACGAGGCACUACGGUGCUGAAGUAACAAAUGCCCUGCUUCCAGGAAAAGCCUCUAAGCAUCAGGUAACAUCAAAUCGUACCCCAAACCGACACAGGUGGUCAGGUAGAGAAUACCAAGGCGCUUGAGAGAACUCGGGUGAAGGAACUAGGCAAAAUGGUGCCGUAACUUCGGGAGAAGGCACGCUGGUGUGUAGGUGAAGUCCCUGCGGAUGGAGCUGAGACCAGUCGAAGAUACCAGCUGGCUGCAACUGUUUAUUAAAAACACAGCACUGUGCAAACACGAAAGUGGACGUAUACGGUGUGACGCCUGCCCGGUGCCGGAAGGUUAAUUGAUGGGGUUAUCCGUAAGGAGAAGCUCUUGAUCGAAGCCCCGGUAAACGGCGGCCGUAACUAUAACGGUCCUAAGGUAGCGAAAUUCCUUGUCGGGUAAGUUCCGACCUGCACGAAUGGCGUAAUGAUGGCCAGGCUGUCUCCACCCGAGACUCAGUGAAAUUGAACUCGCUGUGAAGAUGCAGUGUACCCGCGGCAAGACGGAAAGACCCCGUGAACCUUUACUAUAGCUUGACACUGAACAUUGAGCCUUGAUGUGUAGGAUAGGUGGGAGGCUUUGAAGCGUGGACGCCAGUCUGCGUGGAGCCAACCUUGAAAUACCACCCUUUAAUGUUUGAUGUUCUAACGUUGGCCCCUGAUCGGGGUUGCGGACAGUGUCUGGUGGGUAGUUUGACUGGGGCGGUCUCCUCCCAAAGCGUAACGGAGGAGCACGAAGGUUAGCUAAUCCUGGUCGGACAUCAGGAGGUUAGUGCAAUGGCAUAAGCUAGCUUGACUGCGAGCGUGACGGCGCGAGCAGGUGCGAAAGCAGGUCAUAGUGAUCCGGUGGUUCUGAAUGGAAGGGCCAUCGCUCAACGGAUAAAAGGUACUCCGGGGAUAACAGGCUGAUACCGCCCAAGAGUUCAUAUCGACGGCGGUGUUUGGCACCUCGAUGUCGGCUCAUCACAUCCUGGGGCUGAAGUAGGUCCCAAGGGUAUGGCUGUUCGCCAUUUAAAGUGGUACGCGAGCUGGGUUUAGAACGUCGUGAGACAGUUCGGUCCCUAUCUGCCGUGGGCGCUGGAGAAUUGAGGGGGGCUGCUCCUAGUACGAGAGGACCGGAGUGGACGCAUCACUGGUGUUCGGGUUGUCAUGCCAAUGGCACUGCCCGGUAGCUAAAUGCGGAAGAGAUAAGUGCUGAAAGCAUCUAAGCACGAAACUUGCCCCGAGAUGAGUUCU
This 2771-nucleotide ribosomal RNA is filed under the name Klebsiella pneumoniae. Its description in RNAcentral is "bacterial LSU rRNA". It matches the Rfam family "Bacterial large subunit ribosomal RNA". Lineage: Bacteria; Pseudomonadati; Pseudomonadota; Gammaproteobacteria; Enterobacterales; Enterobacteriaceae. The record is from RNAcentral.